AGGGUAAGAAAAUACUAGUACCAAGUAGCUAUGCUUAUGUUUUUGCAAGAUUUCCAUCGGUCAUUAACUUGAUUUUCUUAUUUUUCAAUAGAAAUAUCAUACGAUCUCCGUAAAUGAAUAGUAUGGAUUAUAGGAUGAAUUACAAAUGUUUGCCUGGUUGACAAUUAUUGUUUGCAGAGGACAAGGCAAAGGAACCCGAACAAUAUGGAGGUCGGUGUCGUUAUGGCUGCUGUGGUCGUCGGGGCCCCUAUGGUUGUAGUAAGUGCUGCAGAACAGGUAAUAGUUGCACCAUUCAAAGAAACAGGAUUUAAAUGCGUGAACAGUAUUUGUAACUUAAAAAGUUGUGUUGUCCAUGUAGCUAAUGAAGCUGAAGCAACCCAAGUAAACGCUGACAUCAAUGGCAAUGAAGGCGGUGGACAUGGUGGUGGCGGCGGCUAUGGAGGUGGUGGCGGCGGACAUGGUGGUGGCGGCGGCUAUGGAGGUGGUGGUGGUGGCAGCGGAGGUGGUCAUGGUGGGGGAGGUGGUCAUGGUGGUGGAGGUGGAUAUGGUGGGCACUGCAGGUACGGCUGUUGUGGUGGCUAUGGCAAAUAUUGCAGGUGCUGCUACAACCCUGAAGAAGCUCAAGCUUUUGUACAAAAUGAGAACUGAGCCAAGCCAUAAAUCAAGGAAACUUCCAUGUACAAGUUUGCGUGAAUAACUACAUGGUUGAAUGUUGAUCUUAUGACAAAAAUAAAAUACUUAGUACAUGUGCUUCUGUGCUUAGCACAUAUGUAAGGAAUAAAAAGUUUCAGUCAUCAUUUGAUGAUGUGAAUUUCAACAAGUGUCCUUCAAUCCCAUGCCUGGAUUUUUUUUUUUUUUUUUUUUUUUAAAUUUGACAUCUGCUACUUGUCAUGUUUGUCUUUGCUCUUAACAUUUGCACUUGAAUGCUCCAGUCAAAAUUUAAGUAAAUUUGUGAAAUAAAUAAAAAUAGCAACACCAGACCAAUCAUUCAUGAUAGAAGUAGGAAGUAGGAAGCCAGAGAGAUAAUUGGAAAGUACACUCGAUUAAAGAAAAAACAACGAAAGCCACAUAAAAUCAGAAAAAAAAAAUUAAAUCGAGUGUAAUUGGCAGGGUACGUAUUCAUGCCACUGAUGGAGGCAAUGUAGUUGCAGGAAUUGCUGGCUUUGUGGGCUAUGACCAUAUAGAGUUGUAAGUAAUUUCUCACAGUAAAUGUUCUGCUUGUUCGUGGAAACAAGAGAACUAAAGCAUCAUCAGGUUUGACAAAUGCAAGUGCACAUCUUUGGACUUGGGAGUUGGGAGGACUCGGGAGCUAAUACCUACAUAGAAAAUGGGCGAUGGAUGAAGAAAGGUGCUACAGACUUUUUAUGUCCUCCAAUGUGGGUGGCAGAAUACACUUUCCUUGAAGUUGAUCAGCGAGAUUACUUUUGUGAUUGCUGAAAUUCAUGACAAAACGGUUCAACAUCUUCAAUCACAAAUUCGUCGAACUGCAAUUAUAAUCUCAUUGGACCAAACUCGAGUAAGCAAAUCAAAUCAAAUCGCUAAUGUCACUUCUUCCAAGUAGCGCUGACAUUCUAAGAUUGACAAGGAAAUGCAGGCUUUGACUCAUCAUUUACUUAAAGCAGGAUACAACAGCAAAAGAAAUCCAGAAGCAAAGAAUAUGAAACUAACCUGAAAACAAAGAUUUAGUAUUUCACAUUUAGAACAGUUACACGCAAAUCAAAAACAUUUUUGCUGCAUUGGGUCGGUGAACAUCCGUACAAGCAUGUGUUACAACAAGAUGUAUACAGUCUCAGGAGUCAUGCUACUAAAGUUUGAUGCCCGAUGCUCUCAGAAGAUAAAAUGGAACUCAGACACGUCGCUGAAGACUGGAGAGUCACUCAUCACUCAAAUGGUGGUCUUCUUAGACAAAGAAAUACCAUUAUCACAGCUGUUUAAGUAAAAUCCAACAGUCAAAGGCAACCAAAAAUAGUUAAAAUGAGGCAUAAAACAAAUAGAUUUCACAUCAGACUUCAACGACACUACUUGUAAGCUUGCAUUUCUGCAAAAGUGACUUAAGAAAGGGUGCCGGAUGAUAUGUUUGAGAAACCAAAGAUUGCAUUAGUUAAAUCCGCAUUUAAAUGCACAUUAUAUACUUAGCCAGUCGUAUUGACCAUCCCAAUUAGUCACGAGAAUCAUACAACUCAAGGCUGAUUAUCAAAUCAAAAGGAGUGGUUUGAAAACACAAAAUUUGGAAAAGAUGGCCAAUGGAAAUGUGGUUACAAGUACGAUUGAAUAUGAGAAACAUAACAAACUUGAUAGAUCUUCCUGCUGAAGUUAUUUGCUUUUCUUUUAAUUAGUUCAUAAAAUGUUAUUCGACUAUAAUAGUCAGCAGAAAGACAUCCAGAAAUUUUCUCACUCCAUAAUUGAAUUUAAGAAAAGAAAUUUAUACUAUAAGUUAAGUCUAUGCCAAUGAACAAGUUGCACAAAAUUAGUCCUUAAAUAACUGAAACACGGCAAGAUAUAUUUAUGAAAUACACCAUACUUGCAAGUAAGCUUAGUCAAUUUAAACAAGAAGAAGCAUCAGAUAAAUAAGAUCGUUUAAUAGUAAGAGGCAAAGGAAAGAAUAUUACCCAUGAUGCGAGCCUUAAGGGUGAUGAGGUUGCAGUCUCUUCAGAAAAAAGGGUCAUACUAAAGAACCAGAAGAGUUCUUAAGCCUUGUCUUAGCGCUUGAAAAAAACAAUAUCUCUGCCGCAGCUAACUUUGAUAGCUUCCUCCAAACUCUCCAUCUGAUCAAAAUCAACUUUGAAGGUUACCAUGGUAACACCAUCUUUUCCAGUGUCAUAAUCUUGCUUAAUGUCUUCAGCCCGAAAUGAUUGUAGCUGCAAGAUACACAAAUGGUGUAUUUGUGAGACAACUGUUUACGAUGUUGAGAUGCACUAAUCACAACCUCAUCAAACAAGUCAAUGCAUUGAUGACAUUUAGCAAACUGGUAAUAUAUGAAAAACUGACGUAUGCUCCACAUGUCAAAAUGACAAUCAAAACAUGAUUUGUCAUGACAAUAUUUGACAGUUAAUUAGCCAGCAACACAACCAGAAGAGAACUUAUAAAUCCUCUGAAUCUUACCUGAUGGUAGAGAACCCCCAAAAGGUCAUAUGGAAUCUCCAAGCCCAUUGGAACCUACAAAUCAAGAUCCUUGUCACAAUAUUUAAUUCAUGAAGCAGAUUUCAAUGUGCAAAGUACGAAGUGGAAAAGAAACUUAUAGAAUUAGACUACUAUUGAUUCAAUAGGCACAAGUUUUAGAGAAUGUAAAAGCCAGCAAGGAUGAGUUGUUACUUUGGACUUGACAAGACAAGUGGGGGCAUUUCUCAAACAAUCAGCAGCAACCCCUCCAUAAGCCCUGACUAAACCUCCGGUGCCAAGUUUAAUACCUCCGAAGUACCUAAAUUAUGAAAUGCAAAAAGAUGAACAUCUUGAAUAGCUUCUCUCCCUAGAUAGAAAAGCCAAAUAACAGACUAAUGGAUGUCAAAAACUUAAUGCAUGUAUCAAAAAAUGAAAAUUGUUACGUAAAAACAACACUCUCUACAUUUCAUUCACAAAAGAAACAUUUGAAUCAGAGCCAAAGGGAAAAAAGCAAUAGCAUGGCCCCAAAAAAUGUGCAACAUUUGUCUACCUGAUCACGACUACCAUAACUCUAUCAAUCCCAGAAGAUUCAAUUGCAGAAAGUAUUGGCUUGCCUGCUGUACCAGAUGGUUCACCGUCAUCAUUACUCCGAAACUGAUCCCCAACCUAGAAUUCACAAAUAACUGCAUUUGCGUCGAAAACAACCAACAAACAAAAGGGGCAAAGAGAAAUAAAAGCCUCAUAAUUGAUUCAAGUACCCCAAGAAUCACUAAUAACUAUCAUACCGGAAAAGAUCAAAUUUUGUACCUUAUAUGCCCAACAAUUAUGAGUAGCCUUGGGGUCACGAACCUUAUUUCCAAACAAAACAAAAAA
This 3972-nucleotide long non-coding RNA is filed under the name Coffea arabica (coffee). RNAcentral's name for it is "long non-coding RNA (CARA_LNC004944)". Lineage: Eukaryota; Viridiplantae; Streptophyta; Magnoliopsida; Gentianales; Rubiaceae. The record is from RNAcentral.